This 251-nucleotide ribosomal RNA is filed under the name uncultured prokaryote. Its description in RNAcentral is "partial 16S rRNA". It matches the Rfam family "Bacterial small subunit ribosomal RNA", at positions 525 to 775 of the family's 1533-position model. The record is from RNAcentral.
ACGGGGGGAGCAAGCGUUGUUCGGAUUUACUGGGCGUAAAGGGCGUCUAGGCGGGUUCGUAAGUCAUGUGUGAAACCCCCCGGCUCAACCGGGGAUCUGCACGUGAUACUGCGGAUCUUGAGUAUGGAAGAGGAAAGCGGAAUUCCAGGUGUAGCGGUGAAAUGCGUAGAUAUCUGGAAGAACACCGGUGGCGAAGGCGGCUUUCUGGUCCAUUACUGACGCUGAAGCGCGAAAGUGUGGGGAGCAAACAG